CGAAGAACCUUACCUGGAUUUGACAUAUACCGGAAAGCUGCAGAGAUCGUGGCCCCCUUGUGGUCGGUAUACAGGUGGUGCAUGGCUGUCGUCAGCUCGUGUCGUGAGAUGUUGGGUUAAGUCCCGCAACGAGCGCAACCCUAUCUUAUGUUGCCAGCACGUUAUGGUGGGGACUCGUAAGAGACUGCCGGGGUCAACUCGGAGGAAGGUGGGGACGACGUCAAGUCAUCAUGCCCCUUAUGUCCAGGGCUUCACACAUGCUACAAUGGCCAGUACAGAGGGCUGCGAGACCGUGAGGUGGAGCGAAUCCCUUAAAGCUGGUCUCAGUUCGGAUCGGGGUCUGCAACUCGACCCCGUGAAGUCGGAGUCGCUAGUAAUCGCAGAUCAGCAACGCUGCGGUGAAUACGUUCCCGGGCCUU
Molecule: ribosomal RNA, 419 nt
Filed under: uncultured Rhodococcus sp.
Lineage: Bacteria; Bacillati; Actinomycetota; Actinomycetes; Mycobacteriales; Nocardiaceae
Description: bacterial SSU rRNA
Rfam family: Bacterial small subunit ribosomal RNA
Source: RNAcentral